CGGAGAUCUCAGGCGGGAUUGGCCCUUCCAAACCGCUUGCAUGAAUCUCUCUGCAAAUAUUGAAGAAAUUGGAAGAGAUAAAGCAAGAACGAAGAGAAGUGGUGAAUCAUAGACUGGAAUGGUGGAAAAUCUCACAGUUUUAUAAGGGAGUGGGUUAUCGCCAUUGACAGGCUGGUUAAUGCAAAUGUUAUCGACUUGGAUUGCUACACCUCCUAUGAUCCAAUAAAGUAAAAACACAGUAAUACAAAUAAAAAUGAAGCGAUCAACAAGAGACUUACAAUUCUUUUAAAGUAGUGAUAUUUCCUAUCUCUUUCGGGAUUGGGCCAGAUAAUCGAUUUCCCCCAAGAUAGCUGCAUUUUGAUUUGUUUCACUCUCUAUUAGUUUCUAUAUUGAAAAAGUAAGUAAAUAACAGCA
Papaver somniferum (opium poppy) is the source of this 414-nucleotide long non-coding RNA. RefSeq lists it as uncharacterized. The record is from RefSeq and is a predicted model, not a curated record. NCBI's taxonomy places the organism in Eukaryota, Viridiplantae, Streptophyta, Magnoliopsida, Ranunculales, Papaveraceae. The transcript is spliced from 2 exons.